CAGAAGAACCUAUGGGCACAAAAAGCAGGAACGAGUAGCGGUGGCUGAAGAACGAGCAGGAGCUUGAAUUUCAGUUUUCUUAUGAGGAAUUUUCCAGAAAAGAUAUCUUCACUGUGAAAUAACUAAAUAAAUGCCCACUCAGUACAGUCACUGUCUCCCUUUUGGAACUUGAUGGCACCUUAAGCCCAGGUUUGCCUCCACUCUAGAAACUCAUCAGAGUGAUGCCCUUCUCAAAUGGGGGAGGUCCCAAAGCGGAUAUCCUGGCAGUGUGAAAGGCCGGCUAAAGAUAUGAUUUUUUUCCAGACAAAAAUACCUGCUACAUGCUUCCUUCUGUAUGAAUACAUGAGACCUACCUUCAUUCAUGUUUCCUCUAUGAAGCUUUCCCUGCACUCCAAACACAGAGCUGAGACUUCCACCUAAUGUAGAAAGCUAGCACGAGCCGGCGCUGACAGAUGGAAGACUUGAGAUGUUACAAGAUUAUAUAUGGAAACACAAAAGGGUCUCACUCUGUCACCCAGGCUGGAGUGCAGUGCUGUGAUCCUAGCUCACUGCAGCUUUGAUCUUCUGGGCCCAAGCAAUCCUCCCACCUCAGCCUCCUGAGUAGCUGGGACUCAAAGUGUGCCACCACACCUGAUUUUCUUUUUGGUAGAGAUGGGGACUCACUAUGUUGCCCAGGCUGGUCUCAAACUUUUGGCCUCAAGGGAUCCUCCCACCUUGGCCUCCGAAAGAGUUGGGAUUAUAGGCAUGAGCCAACAUGCAUGGUCAAAUGCUUUUUAAACUAGUAAUUCACCUG
Long non-coding RNA from Homo sapiens (human), 793 nucleotides. Ensembl annotates it as cholesterol induced regulator of metabolism RNA. Its record names the gene CHROMR. NCBI's taxonomy places the organism in Eukaryota, Metazoa, Chordata, Mammalia, Primates, Hominidae. The record is from Ensembl.